GCUCUCAGACUUGUAGCCUCCAGAACUACGAGAGAACAAACAUUGCUGCUGCUUGGCCUCCUGGUUUGUGGGCAUCUUUUCCGGCGGCCCUAGGACACUCAUCCGGUAGGCAACCAGUAAUGUCCCCUAUUCAGUAAGGAAAUGCGCUCUCAAGUGGGGACAGAAUUGAAAUUAAAAUAUCCAUCUGAGGGAGCUCUGGAGCCGUCACUUCCUCGGGCCCAGUUUGACUUUCACCAAAUGAUGGACACAUAAUAGCUGUUUUCAGGUGACUCUCUUAACCACCCUUGGAAGGGAUUCUGAUUAUUUCGAGUUUCUGUUCUAUUGAAAUGUGGAUUCAGACCACAGAUUGCCUUUAUUGCAUCUGAAUGCCUUUGACCUGAGGGCUGCAGCUGAAAGUGCAGGAUUCCAAGGGAGAGAGAUGCCAAUUAACCCAUUAACUGUCUCUGACCUGCUCUGACCGUCCCAGUCAGGGUUGGGUGCUGGGGCAGUGUGAUGACAGCUUUAAUGAAGAAGAGUCACCCACGCCACCUGCCACUGUUGACAAUGGGGUACUCCAGGGGACAGGAACGGGGUUGGGUUUUUUUUUUGUUUUUUGGGUUUUGGGUUGUUUUGGUUUGGGGGUUUUGGUUUUGGGGUUUUUUUGUGGGUUUGGUUUUGGUUUGGUUUUUUUUUUUUUUAAUGUUUUUCACAAGACAGGAAGCCGCAAAAUCUGCUAUGCUCUGGAAAUUGAGACUGACAACAUAGAAAUUUUUCAAUCUGUCCAUUACUUCAUGCCAAGCCUCGGAGGUUUGAAUUGUCUUAGCCACUCACUCCUUGAAACUCUCGGCUCUCAGUGUGGUUCCCAGACCGGCACCCUCAGCACCACCUGAGAACUUGUUAGAAAUGCAGGUUCUUAAGGCCCCCAUUCCAGACGCCCUGGAUCAGAAACUCUGCCAGUGCGGUCCAGCAAUCUGAGUUUCAACAAGCCAUCGAGGGGAUUCUGAUGCCCACUAACGUUUGAGAACCAAAACUUGAAUCUAUUGACAUCUGUGGCAAGGCAUUGUCUUAAGGCGCUGGCUGGCCUUCUCGGCCUCUGCUUUCCCACGUCCUCGCCUCGCUCAUUCCUCCUUUAUGCCCCUGCUUGUGUGUGAGUAUGUACGCAUGCGCGCACACCUGCACUCCCGCAGCCUUCAGCGGGCAUCCGGGAAAGCGUGAGCUAUGGUCAGUUCCGUAGGUGGAUCCACAUGAGUCGGAAGCUCCGCUGGGAUGUUAGUUAAGCUCCUUCAGGUUGUAAGCAAAGAUCCUUUUCAGAUUUUUUCAGGUGGCAGCAUUGAUUGUAAAGAAACAAAGAGAAUGCGCAUCUCUUACUACAACAAUCAGGAAAAAACUAUGAGGGUAUUUCUGAGAGAGAGAGAGAGGGAGGGACAGAAACAAAAAGAAGCAAGACAGGAAAUCAUCUCAGUGUCUAGGCUCCAUGGAAUCUUGGAAUGUUCUUCAUGACAAGCAGUGACUCCCAGCCACUCCAGCGGUCCAACAUCGGGUGUCCUUUGCUACUGGCUCUAGGAACUCCACUUGCAUAUGACAGAGCUUCCUACAUCUCUGCCUCGUCCGUGACUAUUGCUGCUUCUCCUCGAUGCCACCACCUACCCUUAGGUGUUAUUGCCAUGAGGGAUCUGCACAUUGCCUUUUUUGCUGCUUUCUUUCAGGCUGGCUGCCAAUGUGGAGUUCCUCUGUCUCAAAGAGCCCCCAGAGACAUCCGAUUGGGUCUCCAGUGUCACUGUGUCAGCAUAGAGCUUUCCCAUUUGGGUGGAGAAUUGCUACAGCCGGUCCAGAGGUGGCAGCUAUCACGUGGGCACCGGUCUCUGAGAGGCUGCACCAGCUUGCAUUCUGUGCUGCAGGAACAAGACCAAAGACACUGGAACCAGGGCAAAAAGCCCUUUCCGCAUGCAGUGUCUCUCUCCCCCCUCCACCAACCCCCCAGGGCCUGCUGCAGGUAAAAUUUCUCAUUUGUGACAGGUGGCAGGAGAAAGGUUUCCAGGGCCCAGCCUCAGCAUCACAUAGCGGGACAAAGAAGGAUGGAUUUGGAGCUCUAAGGAAAUACAUUGAUAACUGGCACAAAUGGGAUAUACUGCAAUGGAAGAGCCAAUAGAGGAUGAUCUACCCACGCAGCUCCACGGACAUCUUGUUCACUACUAGCUGAUGCAUAGCCCUCUGCAGGCCACACCCAGGACAUCUGAUUGCCCCUUCUUUUGAAUAUUACCAGGCGGACUCCGACAGCCCACUUCCGCAAAUGGCCAGGAUGAGCAUCCUUGGGCACGUUCUCCACACACCAGAUCAAAGAUUCGCAGAGCUGCACCCAGGAGUGGGAUUGCUGGGCAUACCACACAGGGAUUUUACUAAGUCCUGCUCAGCUUCUCCCAGAACACUGCACAUUCUACAAUCCAGUCUGUACUGCGCAAGAAUUUCCAUUUGCCUACAUCCUUCUCAACGAUUCUAUCACCUGACUUUCUAAUUCUUCCUAUGUUGUGGGUGUAAAGUGGAAUCUCAUAUAAUUUGCAUCUCUUUGACUAAUAAUAGUGAAGUUGAGCAUUUCUUCAUAUUUUCCCUUUUAUAUCCUUGGCCCAUUCUGCUGCUGGUUUCCUGACAUUUUUUUGGUUAAUUUCCUUGUGUAUUCUAGAUAAGAUAUCAAUAAACUCUGCUGUAAAGGGCCCAGAGAGUUAGCAUUUUCGGAUUUGCAGGCCGUAUGUUCUCUGUGGCACCAGCUCAACUCUGCUGUUAAAGCAUGUAGCAGCUAUGAUGAUGCCUAAGUGAACGAGCAGGGCUGUGUUCCAAUAAAACUUACACAAAAAGGUGGCAGGGCAGACCUGCUGCCAUUUGGCUUCAAGCCAUUACAGGACAGAGCACAGAAUUUGAAAUCAGGCAAGCUCUAAGUGGUAAUUCUCUAUUGAACAUGGUUUAGCUCCUGUUUCUUCUUCUUAAGAUUUUAUUUUUAAGUAAUCUCUGCACCCAGUGUGGGGCUCAAACUCAUGACCCUGAGAUCAAGAGUCACAUGCGCUUCCAACUGAACCCCAUUACCUACUAUUUCUUGAAUACCUGCUGACUCAAGACUCUUGGUUUCAAGCACCAAAAACCCAACUCAAACAACAUCAAUUUAGAAACUAUAUACAUAUUGGCUGGAAAUGUAUACAGCAGAAAAGGUAUGAAGAAAUCUGUGUCAUUGAAAUGAACUGGACGCUUAACCACCAAGCCACCCAGGUGCCUCAUACCGGUUAUAUUUUUAAAGAAAAUUUAUUAUUCUUUCUUGCUUAAAGUGAGUUUCAAUUUGUAUCACCACAAUAAUACAACAGAGCAGAGCACCCCAAAACUCAGGGGCUUAAAACAAUGGGUAUUUACUCUUGGCAAAUGUGCGUGUGUCUGUUGAGGUUCAGCCGAUCUGGGCUGUGGCAGCUUUGUUUCUCACUGCAGGUGGAGGCUUGGCUCCACGGGUCUCUCCUUCUCCACAGUGCGGUCUGCUUUGCCAGGGGCCUGUUCGUCUAACAGUGACAGCAACAGUGCAAAGGGCAACCGGAAAGAGGCGAGGCCUCCCAAGGCCUAGGCCUUCAAUGGGCAUAUAGCCAAGCUUGAAGUCAAGGAGCAAGGGGUUUACUCUAUGCACACUGAGCCGAUGGAAGGGUGUUGAAGCAGAGAGGAUGGAAGAUUCGGAGUCAUCGACUCCAUCUACCAAGAAGAGGGUGAAAUCUAAACUCCAUUCCCUAGAUUUCGAAGUCUCCUAUUGUCUGGUCUCACUCCAUUCAUCCAGUCCUACCCCCGACUUUGGGUUAUUCAUCUUGGACACAGUUCAUGGACCUUGGGAAUCUUCUAGAAGCCGGACAAGAUUGGGCAAUCCCAGAUAGCAAACCGUCUUCCAACUGCAGGCCAAACUUAGCUUGCUGCUGCUUUCCCACCGCACAAAAAAGAGGGGGGAGUUUUAUGGGUCUGCUCGUUAUCGGGAGUGUUUAUAAAACAAACAAAUGUUAAACAAUUUCUCCUCUAGGAAAUAAACCAAGCCAGAGAUCUUCUUUAUGAUCUUUUAUUUUAGUUCUUUGGGGGAAAAAAAUCUCCAGGAAUUAUUUUCUCAAUAAACAAUGGCAACAGUUUAUUUUUGUGGGAUUGACUUGAAUCCUCCCCCACUUUCUUUUUUUGGAUUAAGAGGUUGACUACAGAAAUGAGAAAGAGAUGGUUUUUUAUUCUUUUUUGGUAUGUGGUUUCUCUGACUGGAAAAUAAAAGCUCUGCAUUCUUUCUGUAUUCAGUGCACUUCAAAGUUAUAAAAAUUUAGAUAAAGUACAUCAGGGUUAUGGUUGUUCUAGAUUUCAGUCUAUUUAUAACUUCCUCAUAUUUCACAUUAGUUUGACCUCAGGUUAAAGGAAUGCUUUUGAAAAGUAUAAUGAUUUGAUCCUAGCAAUGGAUAUAGCAAAAAUACUGGGGUCAAUAAGUUAAAUUAAAAGGCUUAAAAUAAAAAAAAGAAGAAGAAGAAGAAGAAGGAAAAGAAGAAGAAAAAACUAGAUCUGGCAAACUUUAAGUUUAGGACUGCAUGACAAUAGGAGAAUUUCCCAGCCAUGUUCUCAUAAAAGAAUUAUGGUGUGAAAAAUCUUUUUCAAAGCUUGCCAGAGUUAAAAAGGUUGAACUAGAAGAAACUAAUUUCCAAAUACUCUGACUCAUUUCCACAGCUUACAUAGGGAUUUUCUCUGGAUUUGUCUUUAGUACCUUUACAUAUGUGUUUUGUUUCUUUUCUUUUCCACCAAAGUCUGAAUAAUGUCAAAUGAGUUGGAGUUUCACAAUAUUACCUAAAAUAUAUGCUUCAAUAAUUUUUGAGAGGAAAAGAGCAAGUUUCAAAACAUAUAUAUACAUAUAUAUAUGAUUUUUUAAAUAUAUAUAUGAGUGCGUGUAUCUAUAUCUGUCAAUCUAGAGUGAAAAAGAGAUAUACAUUCACACAUUACACAGAAAAAUGUGUAAGAACAUGUCUAUAAAGAAGAUACCAGAAUAUUAACGAUUACCUUUGUGUGUUAACUUUCUCUCCAUGCCUAUUUACUUGUUUGCAUAUAUCUAAAUUUGUUUCUAACGAACAUAUAUCAUUACCU
Molecule: long non-coding RNA, 5097 nt
Organism: Mirounga angustirostris (Northern elephant seal)
Lineage: Eukaryota; Metazoa; Chordata; Mammalia; Carnivora; Phocidae
Exons: 3
Source: RefSeq, a predicted model, not a curated record